AAUAAGAAAAUAAAUAGUCCUGGAAGCCUCACUUCCGUAGAAAAUCAAUAUUAGUAUUUGGUUAUGAGGCAUUGAAAUAAUUCUUUAUAAAUUUAUGUGCAUAUAGACCCCAAACAUUUUAUAAUGUUUGGGAUCAUAAAACACAGUAUUCUGUUGGCUUACUUUUUUUUUUUAACUCAAACAAAUAUAGAUUCACAUUUUUUAAAUCUCACAUUAUUUAACUUUACUUCAACUCAAUUUUUUAUUUUAUCAAUUUCCUAUUGAUAAAUGUUUAAGUUUUUGAAAGUUUCAGUUAUGAACAAUGGUUCAAUGAACAUUCAUAUACAUUAAAGUAAUACAAUCAUUAAAAAACGUUUACAAUAGCAUUUACCCUUUAGAUAGGUCCCCAGAGCAUUUACUCAGCCUUCCUUAAAACACAGGCCAAGUAGUUGCCAGGCUGCAAACAAAGCUAACCUCACAAAGUGGUAGAGUGCUGUAGCACGUGAUUAAGGAAACUUCUACCCUACAAAAUAUUUUGCCCCCAAGAUGCAAUUUAACUGUUUUAGCAAGGAGCACAUCUUUUCCUUUAUACAAUUAAAGAUCUAGAGCGAGGGAAUUGUUGGUUCUAAAGUCAUCCUUUUUGAAAAGUUAAAGUUAUUUAUGAUGGGCAGUUUUGCUCUUUCUCAUUUGCUGGGCUUUACACAAGGCCAUGAUGUUCACUUGGGCAUAAUUCCAAGGGCCUCCAUUCUCAUUCUCAUCUGAGUGGAUGGCUCUAGGUUGUGUGAAAAUUAUGGGGCAUGCCACUGAGACCCUAGUAUUCAGUUUAGUUUGUUUUUUGCUUGGUUAUUUUGUUGGUUUAUUGAAUUCUCCAACCAGACCAUUACUAACAGAAAUACAUGAGAAAAAAAUCCCAGGAAUAUGUUUCAGGGUUUCAGAACAGUAGCAGUGAAAAUAGUGUUUACACAGAAGUUCAGAAAAGUUACAUAUAAGAGAAUAAAGACUUUUUUCAUAAUUUAGACAGAGUUGGUUUGAAAAAGGUUUUCAGCAAAUCACAUAACCAAAUAUAGAAUGAAGGUUGCUAACUCAGGCUAUUGCACUAACCACUAAACUUAGCUUCCUCUCUUGGCUGCAAAGGGCAGAAGCACAGGAAGAAAAAAAAUGCCACUCUUUCUGGAACAAGCAGACUUUUGGAAAAUGGCUAGUUCUGGAGCUUGACCUAUACGACGCAUCCUCCUACAAGGAAUGUGCUGAGGUGUCCAGAUUGUAAAAGUAGUGUGAUGAUGACCGAAUUGGAUGGCAAAUGGAAGCAACAUCAGGUAUCCACCAGCCAGCAGGACACGGGCUUGUCCCAUGGCAGCAGAAAGUUGGUCUCUGGGCCAAUAGCAAGGCUGAGAAGUGGCCUGAUCGGGAAAAGAGCCAGUGCUGACUGCACCCCAGCGCUGCCAGCCCAGCCAGGGCCCAGGCAGAGUCCCGCCCCCUCUGCUGACAGUGCAGAGCCGCCCUGACAAAGGCUCUCUGUAGGCUCUGGGCAUAGACCUCCCACAGCUACAGAUAAAACAGAAGGAGAUUAACACGUGUUAGAAGCUAAACAAAUAAGUUAGGGGAUAAUAUUUUUAAAUGUUUACAUAUCUAGAUUCUGACCUUUUAAAAUUCAAUUUCAAGGUAUGCAGAUAUGACGGCAGGAGAAACCCUUAGUCCUGUGCAGCAUGUGCUAAAACAGCCCCUGCUUUCUGUGGGUGUCAGGGUCUAAAUCUUCCUUAGCUAUCAGUUUGUUUCUCAGGAAGUGUGCCAAAGAAUUUGCAUAUGCAGAGGGAUGGGGGACCCCAGAGCUUCACUGAUUGGGGAGGGCAUUACGGAUGAGAGUUCGUUCAGAAACUGAAACCACGGUUUCUUCCUCUACUCCUGGCCCUCUUGGUGACUUUCUGCCAGUCUGAAGCAGGAAGUUUCCUCAUAACAACAAAGAGAUAGAGUGGGACCUAACAUGGUUUCUUAUGAGUUGUCAUCUUUACACCUUUGAAUUGGAAAUGCCUCUGUAAUCUAUUAGGCUAACAGAAAAUAUAUGUUGUGAUAGCUAAAAGCAAGCUUUUUGGGGUUAUUAGAUAAGAAGUGUUAAAUACCUGUAGAAUAUCAUUAAUAUUCAAUAUGUGCUGUUGAAUUAUGCAAUAGAUUAUUAUCUCUACAUCUGGAUUCAAAAAAAAAAAAACAGAAAGAAAGAAAAGAGGAAAGGAAAAAAGACUCCAGUUACUAUCAUCUCAUAUCUCUGAACUUGAACUAUUGGAAUGAUUGCCUUUGCUGUAUAAGCAAAGUUAACCUGAAUGUACCGGCAUUUUCCCUUGGGAGAAUGGUAUUUAGACCAUCACACGAUAACCAACUAUUUCAAAUCUGUUCUGGAAACCAGUUAAAUAGAAAUAAUCUCAAAAAAUGAAUAUUCGGAAAAUGACGCUCCCUUUACUCUGGAAAAGGAGUGCUUUGAGCAGCUAGGAGAGCGGCUCUUCCACUGCUCCUUUCCCUCUUCAUGGGUUCGUGUUCAGGUUGAAGAACCACGUUACUCCACAGAAGAUGACACAGCAAAUAACACGAAGAAGUGCUGCGACAGAGAAACAGGACAAUGAAAUGUUCCUGUGGAUGAAAAAUGUCACUUGCCAUAUCAGGAAACAAAGGAUGUUGCAGCCAUCAAGCCAUCAGCCACUAUAACCGCUCCAACAGCGAGCUCUGAAGAAACUCAGGGUGGAGACAAACAGGCUGCCAGCCACCAAGUCGUCAGCCACUGCCUCAACAGUGCACCCUGAGGGCAUUCAGGAUGGGAAAGAGCCAGAUACUGGCCCUAGAUAGUUGAGGUGCCAAAGGAAUGAUUUCAAUGAGCCCAGACUCUUGCAU
Long non-coding RNA from Aethalodelphis obliquidens (Pacific white-sided dolphin), 2856 nucleotides. RefSeq lists it as uncharacterized. The record is from RefSeq and is a predicted model, not a curated record. The transcript has 3 exons. NCBI's taxonomy places the organism in Eukaryota, Metazoa, Chordata, Mammalia, Artiodactyla, Delphinidae.